UUAGAAUCCAAGGAAGUUGACAUGUCAUCACUUCAUUUUUUUGCGCCUGCGCAUAAAUCUGAGAAACGUGAGUUUUGUCUUCAUUGUUUAUCUCGACAUAGGAUAGGUUGUGUGAAAAUAUUACUGAUGUUUAACGUUAAAAAUGGACCAAAAGAUUAAUGCUAAACAACAUUUGACAUGUUUGAACGAACAUAAAUAGAUUAUUUACUAGGUUUUUUUAGCUUUUCGGCGUGAUUUUACAGUCCCCCACCACGUUUUGUGGGAGCAUAAUGAACGCUAAGUACUUGGUGUUAUUUGGACAUAAAUUAUGAACUUUGUCAAAAGAAACCACAUUUGUUCCGGACCUGGGAUGCCUUCCGGACCUGGGAUGCCUGUCUUCUGAUGGAGAUAAUCAAAGUUAUAGUCGCUGCCACGCCCCCAGGGGCCAAAUCUGAGGUGUCUCCAUCUUUUCAUGAACCGUGUGAGCCCGACCUGCAGGUUGCUGUGCUGCUAAGGCAAUUAGACAUCAACACUGCUGUCCUGAGCCGCACUACAGCUGGAGAUGGGAUGUAAUCUGGAAACAAAUUAAGGACAUUGAGACCAGGGAGCGAUAUAGGAGAAGCAAAAUAAAUAACUAUUUCUUAGAAUACAAAACACAUUAGUCUAAAAUCAAACAUGAAUUUACUCUUGUUAAUCAGAAUGAAUCUCUCCCCUUAUGGGCUUUGCCCAACUGACAUGCAACAUUUAUCAAGCUCAUCAUUGCCAAGCGAGGGGGCAUCAAAGUUACUCAGUAGGCUAAAAAUACUGUAUAUAUAUUAGCCUGACAACCAUCAGAGACAGCUGCUUGAGCCCCCAAAACUGCUCUGAUACUACCCUGCCACUACCCUGAUAUUGCCCUGCCACUAACCUGCCACUACCCUGAUACUACCCGGAUAUUGCCCUGCCACUACUCUGAUACUACACUGAUAUUGCCCUGCCACUAACCUCAUAUUGCCAUUGCACUACCCUAAUAUUGCCCUGCCACUACCCUGAUAUUAGCCUGAUAUUGCCCUUCCACUACCCUGAUAUUGCCUUGAAAUUGGCCUGAUAUUGCCCUGCCACUAGCCCUGAUAUUGUCUUGAUAUUGCCCCUCCACUACCCUGAUAUUGCCCUGCCACUACACUGAUAUUGCCUUGAAAUUGGCCUGAUAUUGCCCUGCCACUAGCCCUGAUAUUGUCUUGAUAUUGCCCCUCCACUACCCUGAUAUUGCCCUGCCAUUACCCUGAUAUUGCCCUGCCAUUACCCUGAUAUUGCCCUGCGACAACCCUGAUAUUGCCCUGCCACUACUCAGAUACUACCCUGAUAUUGCCCUGCCACUACCCUGUUAUCAAUCAAAUGUAUUUAUAAAGCCCUUUUUAACAUCAGCAGAUGUCACAAUGUGCUAUACAGAAAUCCAGCCUAAAAGCCCAAACAGCAAGCAAUGCAGAUGUCAAAGCACGGUGGCUAGGAAAAACUCCCUA
RNAcentral lists this long non-coding RNA (1478 nucleotides) under Salmo salar (Atlantic salmon). Its description in RNAcentral is "lncRNA (ENSSSAG00000089124.1)". Lineage: Eukaryota; Metazoa; Chordata; Actinopteri; Salmoniformes; Salmonidae. The record is from RNAcentral.